This is a long non-coding RNA of Rhipicephalus sanguineus (brown dog tick), 710 nucleotides long. RefSeq lists it as uncharacterized. Lineage: Eukaryota; Metazoa; Arthropoda; Arachnida; Ixodida; Ixodidae. The transcript has 2 exons. The record is from RefSeq and is a predicted model, not a curated record.
UCUUUAAUACAUAUCUACCUUCCCUUCUUUCAACUAAUCCAUCGAAAUUUUGGAGCACUAUUCAAAUAAAAAAGAUAAAUAACAUAUCUCUUACAGAUACUGGUGGUUGCACAAUGAGCGAUGAAGAAUGUUGCAGGGUUCUAAAUGACACCUUUGCGAAAUCAUUUUCUGACUGCUGUACUGACACAGUCCCGUACAUGUGCAAAAAGGAUUUUUUUCCUAUGGAUCCACUUGUUGUUGACUUUGCGGGGAUUUUAAAGUUAAUUCAUAAUUUAAAACUAUCCUCUUCCUGUGGCGCGGACGAAAUUAAUUCCAAAUUUCUAAUAAAUACUGCUGUGUACUCCUCUGUGAUUUUUAUGUACCUUUUCACCCAGUCUAUUGAGUGCUCGACUUUGCCCGCAGAUUGGAAGGUGGGGAAGGUGGUGCCUCUGUUGAAAUCAGACUCCUUUCUGCCAAAAACCAGUGCCGAGUGGAACCACCUUCCCCCCUCCAUCGCCUCCAUUGAGGACGUGUCAUCCUUCAAGACUGCACUAACCGAUCAUAUCUUAAGCCUCCAAUAACUGAGUAUUGUUUGAACAUGUAUUCUAAUUAAUUUGUUGUAUUAUUGUGUUCUGUUUUUUACUACAUUUUUUGUUAUAUUACCCACCCCCUCUGUAACGCCUUUAUGUGCCCUGAGGGUAAUGUAAAUAAAUAAAUAAAUAAAUAAAUAA